This 84-nucleotide transfer RNA is filed under the name Ahrensia sp. R2A130. It matches the Rfam family "tRNA". From Rfam's summary of the family: Transfer RNA (tRNA) molecules are approximately 80 nucleotides in length. The record is from Rfam by way of RNAcentral. Lineage: Bacteria; Pseudomonadati; Pseudomonadota; Alphaproteobacteria; Hyphomicrobiales; Ahrensiaceae.
GCCCCCAUGGCGAAAUUGGUAUACGCAGCAGACUUAAAAUCUGUAGGCCGCAAGGCCGUCCCGGUUCAAGUCCGGGUGGGGGCA